UACGUAGGGCGCAAGCGUUUGUCCGGAUUCACUGGGUGUAAAGGGUGCGUAGGCGGGAGAGUAAGUCCGCGGUGAAAUCUCACGGCUCAACCGUGAAACUGCCGUUGAUACUGCUUUUCUUUGAGUUCGGGAGAGGUUGAUGGAAUUCCAGGUGUAGCGGUGAAAUGCGUAGAUAUCUGGAGGAACACCGGUGGCGAAGGCGGCGUUCUGGACUGCAACUGACACUGAGGAACGAAAGCCAGGGGAGCAAACGGG
This 255-nucleotide ribosomal RNA is filed under the name uncultured bacterium. Its description in RNAcentral is "partial 16S ribosomal RNA". It matches the Rfam family "Bacterial small subunit ribosomal RNA", at positions 524 to 776 of the family's 1533-position model. The record is from RNAcentral.